GGGGUCGUAUUGGAUUUGACAGCGAUAGCGGAUGUGUAGUGUAAGCAUGUCGAGCGUUGAAGUGAGUCUCGUUAAUCAUUUGCUUCGAACUAUAAUUGACAACACGUCAUACAGACUUGCUGCCUAAUUUGUGAUACAAAUUCGGCUUAAUCCAGUGGAAUAAUAGUACACGGACAAGUUCCUUCUCCCACGUUUCCGUCUGUUAAACAGGGAUUAAGAAGGACCAAAUUUUACAGAAUAGUACCAGUGACGCUUCUAAGCCGGUAUGAGAUUAAGAAGAUAAGCGUGAUCUUUGGGUGUCUUUGUCCUAAAUCACGUCGAAAAUGAACCGAAGAAUAAACAUGUAGAAAGCUGUAUUUCUCGUCGUUUGGACGAGGGUUCGAAACCCUCCGACUCCAC
RNAcentral lists this transfer-messenger RNA (399 nucleotides) under Crocinitomicaceae bacterium. It matches the Rfam family "transfer-messenger RNA". Rfam says of the family: Bacterial tmRNA, also known as 10Sa RNA or SsrA, is named for its dual tRNA and mRNA-like properties. Its role is to liberate the mRNA from a stalled ribosome. The record is from RNAcentral. Lineage: Bacteria; Pseudomonadati; Bacteroidota; Flavobacteriia; Flavobacteriales; Crocinitomicaceae.